GCUUCGGAGUGAAUUCUUUCUCAUGCAGAGCCAAGGACCAAGGGGAAAUGUCCCAUCACAGUAAGGGAGUGCUGCUGAUGACCAGACCUGACCAGCUGAACAUGCACAGAGGACCUUAGGUCACCUCACAACAAAAUACUUUGUUCAAGGAACUAAAAGUCACUGGAAAGACAUCACCAGACCAACUUGAAGACAUUGGAAAGUGAGGGGCCUGAAAAACCAUAUUCUGUUGAGAUUCAUAACCCCUCCCUAAGGCCACAAGGAUGGGGAACGCCAGGAGGCAGGUAGAGUGCUGACUGUAGGAGCAGAAUCGACUCCAGAGGCCACAACAGACUUUC
Echinops telfairi (small Madagascar hedgehog) is the source of this 338-nucleotide long non-coding RNA. RefSeq lists it as uncharacterized. Lineage: Eukaryota; Metazoa; Chordata; Mammalia; Afrosoricida; Tenrecidae. The transcript has 3 exons. The record is from RefSeq and is a predicted model, not a curated record.